GAAUGCGCUCCACUUAUCCCGAGUGGCCAAAGGGAGCAGACUGUAAAUCUGCCGGCUCCGCCUUCGAUGGUUCGAAUCCGUCCCCCUCCACCA
RNAcentral lists this transfer RNA (93 nucleotides) under Vibrio vulnificus. RNAcentral describes it as "tRNA-Tyr". The stretch from base 18 to 82 matches the Rfam family "tRNA", at positions 10 to 63 of the family's 71-position model. From Rfam's summary of the family: Transfer RNA (tRNA) molecules are approximately 80 nucleotides in length. Lineage: Bacteria; Pseudomonadati; Pseudomonadota; Gammaproteobacteria; Vibrionales; Vibrionaceae. The record is from RNAcentral.